RNAcentral lists this ribosomal RNA (459 nucleotides) under uncultured bacterium. Its description in RNAcentral is "partial 16S ribosomal RNA". It matches the Rfam family "Bacterial small subunit ribosomal RNA", at positions 338 to 795 of the family's 1533-position model. The record is from RNAcentral.
CCUACGGGAGGCAGCAGUGAGGAAUAUUGGUCAAUGGCCGGGAGGCUGAACCAGCCAAGUCGCGUGAGGGAAGACGGCCCUACGGGUUGUAAACCUCUUUUGUCAGGGAGCAAGGUGCAGGUCGGGACCUGCUGUGAGAGUACCUGAAGAAAAAGCAUCGGCUAAAUCCGUGCCAGCAGCCGCGGUAAUACGGAGGAUGCGAGCGUUAUCCGGAUUUAUUGGGUUUAAAGGGUGCGCAGGCGGAGGCACAAGUCAGCGGUAAAAUCGCGGGGCUCAACCCCGCUCCGCCGUUGAAACUGUGGCCCUUGAGUGCGCGAAGGGUAGGCGGAAUGCGUGGUGUAGCGGUGAAAUGCAUAGAUAUCACGCAGAACUCCGAUCGCGAAGGCAGCCUACCGGCGCGCAACUGACGCUCAUGCACGAAAGCGUGGGUAUCGAACAGGAUUAGAUACCCCAGUAGGC